UCCCNGUGCUUUUUAUAUAGCUGACAGUGC
RNAcentral lists this non-coding RNA (30 nucleotides) under Mus musculus (house mouse). Lineage: Eukaryota; Metazoa; Chordata; Mammalia; Rodentia; Muridae. The record is from RNAcentral.